Molecule: non-coding RNA, 94 nt
Organism: Acanthosepion pharaonis
Lineage: Eukaryota; Metazoa; Mollusca; Cephalopoda; Sepiida; Sepiidae
Source: the annotation of a GenBank genome assembly
AUUCAAACAGUGGUCCGCAUACAAUCACCAAUGUUAAGCAAUGUUGAACCUGGUUAGUACCUUGAUGGGUGACCUCUUGGGAAUACCAGGUGCU